GGUGUCAAAAUGGGUCAAAAU
RNAcentral lists this non-coding RNA (21 nucleotides) under Arabidopsis thaliana (thale cress). Lineage: Eukaryota; Viridiplantae; Streptophyta; Magnoliopsida; Brassicales; Brassicaceae. The record is from RNAcentral.